Molecule: ribosomal RNA, 210 nt
Filed under: Klebsiella pneumoniae
Lineage: Bacteria; Pseudomonadati; Pseudomonadota; Gammaproteobacteria; Enterobacterales; Enterobacteriaceae
Description: partial 23S ribosomal RNA
Rfam family: Bacterial large subunit ribosomal RNA
Source: RNAcentral
GGGUUGUGAGGUUAAGCGACUAAGCGUACACGGUGGAUGCCCUGGCAGUCAGAGGCGAUGAAGGACGUGCUAAUCUGCGAAAAGCGUCGGUAAGGUGAUAUGAACCGUUACAGCCGGCGAUGUCCGAAUGGGGAAACCCAGUGCAAUUCGUUGCACUAUCGUUAACUGAAUACAUAGGUUAACGAGGCGAACCGGGGGAACUGAAACAUC